UUGAUGGGUACAUGUAGCAUUAAUGAGUCCUCUUGUAAAGCAUACACUUGCCUUUGAUGGAGAUGUGUAGCAUUAAUGAGUUUUUGCUCGAAAAUAUCAAUGACAUUGAUAUGAAUAAGAAUGGCAAUAGAAUGAUGACGGAACACAGUGGACAAUGCAAUAAGCAAUGAAAUGCAUUUAAUAAUAUCAUAAGCAAUGUCUCCAGUAAAGUUCUUUUGAAAUUCAGCAUUAUGGACAAAAUAUGUAUAUCUACAGAAAUGUGUCUUCAAGUCUAUUCUAGACAGUAGGUAGCAAGCGCAAGUUGAGGGG
Molecule: long non-coding RNA, 309 nt
Organism: Clupea harengus (Atlantic herring)
Lineage: Eukaryota; Metazoa; Chordata; Actinopteri; Clupeiformes; Clupeidae
Source: Ensembl